Molecule: non-coding RNA, 72 nt
Organism: Pangasianodon gigas (Mekong giant catfish)
Lineage: Eukaryota; Metazoa; Chordata; Actinopteri; Siluriformes; Pangasiidae
Source: the annotation of a GenBank genome assembly
UCCCUGGAGGGCUAGUGGUUAGGCCUCGGUGCUCUCACUGUUGUAGCGAGGGUUUGAUUCCCAGCCAGGGAA